UACGUAGGGUGCAAGCGUUGUCCGGAAUUAUUGGGCGUAAAGAGCUCGUGGGCGGUCUGUCGCGUCUGCUGUGAAAACUCAGGGCUUAACCCUGAGCUUGCAGUGGGUACGGGCAGACUAGAGUGCGGUAGGGGAGACUGGAAUUCCUGGUGUAGCGGUGAAAUGCGUAGAUAUCUGGAGGAACACCGGUGGCGAAGGCGGCAUCCUGGACCGGCAUUGACGCUGAGGCGCGAAAGCCAGGGGAGCAAACGGG
RNAcentral lists this ribosomal RNA (253 nucleotides) under uncultured bacterium. RNAcentral describes it as "partial 16S ribosomal RNA". It matches the Rfam family "Bacterial small subunit ribosomal RNA", at positions 524 to 776 of the family's 1533-position model. The record is from RNAcentral.